UCUAUUUCUCCUUCCCCUCCUCCUCCUCCUUACUCCUCGACGAAACCCUAGGCUUUCUCGUCCUCCAAAUCCCUCUUCGUCCCCGUUUCCAAUCCCUCUUUCGCCAAUCGAAUCCCUCCCAAGGUAACAUCGGCUCCUGUCAGUAACCCUUUUCGUCCGUCGCCGCUCGGACGGAGGCUUCUCUCUCAGGCAUGUUGGAACUUUCCUGUGUCCCUCUUUCGAUCCCGUUGUCGCCCUGGCGAAAAUGAUGCUACUGUGGUGUUAGUGAGCUUGGAGACGCCGCAUUGAAGAAGAAGAAGAAGAAGAAGAAGAAGAAGAAGAAGAAGCUUCAUUCCGUUGUCUCUGCUCAUCGAUCGCGGCCUUACAAAGAGAUGUUCCUCGGAGGUGUAGGAUGGUCUUCUGUACCUUUAAUCGUGGAUACCACCACCUAUCUUAUCUCUCUGAUGAAGAAGUGUCAGUUCGUCGAGAAAUGUCUCAAAAUCGUUGACGAGAAAGCCAGAAGGAUGGAUCAGAUAUUCGUUUUCCAGGUCAGAGAGUAUUUAGCUGUCUUAUGGCUUUCAUCAGCUAGAUGGGUGGAUACUUCUACAAGUAUCUGAUUUACCAAAUAUUGCUAUGGAGCACUCUGGAGGCAGGCCCUGAGGAAACCGGUUGACGUCGUUGCAGUAGUUGUAGAUCAUGUAGUUCUUCUGCGCCCAUCUCAUCCUCGCAUGGCUCGCGGAAUCCAGCUCUUGGUUCCACCACCCACUCUUGGCAGGCGUGCAGCUGGACCUACCGGAAGCCUUAAUGCAUGCAUUGGCAUUAAAAUUCCUGUAGGAGGCGACGAAGGGUGCCUUCGUCCAAUCGGUCUUGAUGAGCCCUCCUCUGGUAGCCCAGUCCUCAGCGUUCCAGAGGCUGGAGUAGAUCCUCAUGGGUUGGUUCUUGGGAAAUGCAAUGCCCCUCGAUUCCAGGUUCUUGAAGUCUCUGAUGGGAGUGCCAUCAACCAUGAAGCUGAGACCAUCACAAGCCAGCGGUAAGAUUCAAUUUCAUGUCUCACCUGUGGUAAGUUCGUUUUACCGCAUACAGAAUUUUGAGGUCUUACAUGAUGUGUCUUGGGUUCCAGAGGAUGGAGUAGGUGUGGAAAUCCUUGGUGGGAUCAAACCAGAGCUUGAACUGCAUCUCCCUGUUCCCCUUCCCCUGGGUGAACACAUUGGUGUGCAGAGUGUAAGGGUCUCCGCUGAGAUUCCCGAGGAACUCGAAGUCGAUCUCGUCAUGAGUCGGUCCUUGCGAAGACAACUGCAAUAACAAAUCAGGCCGAGCUUAAGGCAUCAGCUCCGGCAACUAGAGCCAUGAAAGCGAAGGCAUGUCUGGGGGAAGAGCUUACGUAGUAGGCGGUGACAGUGCCGGCAGAGUUCCCGGGCACGAGUUUGAUCUGCAUGUCGAUCUUGCCGAAGAGAUACUCGUUCUUGGACUGGAAGCCGGAGCCGGAGGCCUUGUCGAGGGAGAGGGUAAGGAGGUGACCAUUGUUGAGGAUCUUGGCACGGCCGUCGCCCCAGGUGAUGUCGAAGUCCUGGUAGAAGUUACCAGCGGAGGCAACGGCGACCAAGGAGCAAGCCAGCAAAAAAAACCUCAUUGCCAUGGUAUGCAAUAGCAGAAACGUUAACAAGCUUCGUAGGAGGGGGAAGCAGAUGACGAUGAGACGCGGGGUCGGCGGACGCGGCCAUGGUGCUGCUGUCUCAAGUGGUGGAGCGGCGUCGGACGAAAGCCUCGUGAUCAUGGUCCACUAAAGCGGGCGGCUCCUCCGAUAUUUGAAUGCGACUGGCCAGGUGGCGUCAUCAGGUACGAUGCAAUCCCCACAAAGCUCAUUUUUCUUCUUUUAUAGCGUGCAUGGCAAGCACUACAACAAUGUGAAGUUACGUUUCACCACCGGUUUAUAUGUUGCCCUUGCACUUAGAGCAGUUGGGACCCAUGGUCCCGGCCGUCCGUUCAAUCACAAGGCCAGUAGCGUCGGCGGGUGCAGAGUAGAAGGGUUGGGUGAGAGGAGAGACAUCGGGGUGGCUGGAUUUUCCAGCUGUUGUUAGAGUGUCGUUUUUAGAGACCGACGUUGACCGUGACGCGUUGUGAUCAUGCCGUUGUCGGGCGAUAAGGAAGUGACGAGGGGGUUUCCAACUAAAGGAGUUGCCUCCAUGGAGAGGAAACUUUAGAACGUUGCCGUGCAUUCAUGAGCUUCGUUCUGCGAUCUCAAGCCGCAUCAAGGCAUGGCCGGAUGGUAUGUAUUAAGCUAUGACGCCGAGUGCGUUUAGGCUGUCAUGGGUGAGUUAUAUUUUGCUUGCCUUCCUAAUCAAUGCGGAAAAGAUCCUUCGGCCCGCUCUCCCUUGUAAUUUGGCAGGCUCUAAUUCCUUUUGGUAGUGCGGAUUAGAACAUGCAGAUUUUCAUCUCGAGUCACAUUUUGAUCA
This is a long non-coding RNA of Musa acuminata AAA Group (dessert banana), 2432 nucleotides long. RefSeq lists it as uncharacterized. NCBI's taxonomy places the organism in Eukaryota, Viridiplantae, Streptophyta, Magnoliopsida, Zingiberales, Musaceae. The record is from RefSeq and is a predicted model, not a curated record. The transcript has 6 exons.